GCCCGGCUAGCUCAGUCGGUAGAGCAUCAGACUCUUAAUCUGAGGGUCGCGGGUUCGAGUCCCGCGUCGGGUA
RNAcentral lists this transfer RNA (73 nucleotides) under Spraguea lophii 42_110. It matches the Rfam family "tRNA". From Rfam's summary of the family: Transfer RNA (tRNA) molecules are approximately 80 nucleotides in length. Their secondary structure includes four short double-helical elements and three loops (D, anti-codon, and T loops). Lineage: Eukaryota; Fungi; Microsporidia; Spragueidae. The record is from Rfam by way of RNAcentral.